GCUACUUUAGCUCAGUAGGUAGAGCAGCUGAUUCGUAAUCAGAAGGUCACCAGUUCGAUUCUGGUAUGUAGCA
Molecule: transfer RNA, 73 nt
Filed under: Aeromonadales bacterium
Lineage: Bacteria; Pseudomonadati; Pseudomonadota; Gammaproteobacteria; Aeromonadales
Description: tRNA-Thr
Rfam family: tRNA
About the family: Transfer RNA (tRNA) molecules are approximately 80 nucleotides in length. Their secondary structure includes four short double-helical elements and three loops (D, anti-codon, and T loops). Further hydrogen bonds mediate the characteristic L-shaped molecular structure. tRNAs have two regions of fundamental functional importance: the anti-codon, which is responsible for specific mRNA codon recognition, and the 3' end, to which the tRNAs corresponding amino acid is attached (by aminoacyl-tRNA synthetases). tRNAs cope with the degeneracy of the genetic code in two manners: having more than one tRNA (with a specific anti-codon) for a particular amino acid; and 'wobble' base-pairing, i.e. permitting non-standard base-pairing at the 3rd anti-codon position.
Source: RNAcentral